GCAUUGUUAGUAUAACGGUCAUUAUGGUCGCCUUCCAUACAGAAGGAACUUUGUCCCUUGUUAGCGACAGACCCGGGUUCGACUCCCGGACGAUGCA
This 97-nucleotide transfer RNA is filed under the name Aspergillus ustus. It matches the Rfam family "tRNA". Rfam says of the family: Transfer RNA (tRNA) molecules are approximately 80 nucleotides in length. Their secondary structure includes four short double-helical elements and three loops (D, anti-codon, and T loops). Further hydrogen bonds mediate the characteristic L-shaped molecular structure. tRNAs have two regions of fundamental functional importance: the anti-codon, which is responsible for specific mRNA codon recognition, and the 3' end, to which the tRNAs corresponding amino acid is attached (by aminoacyl-tRNA synthetases). tRNAs cope with the degeneracy of the genetic code in two manners: having more than one tRNA (with a specific anti-codon) for a particular amino acid; and 'wobble' base-pairing, i.e. permitting non-standard base-pairing at the 3rd anti-codon position. The record is from Rfam by way of RNAcentral. Lineage: Eukaryota; Fungi; Ascomycota; Eurotiomycetes; Eurotiales; Aspergillaceae.